RNAcentral lists this ribosomal RNA (431 nucleotides) under uncultured bacterium. Its description in RNAcentral is "partial 16S ribosomal RNA". It matches the Rfam family "Bacterial small subunit ribosomal RNA", at positions 338 to 795 of the family's 1533-position model. The record is from RNAcentral.
CCUACGGGAGGCAGCAGUAGGGAAUAUUGGGCAAUGGACGAGAGUCUGACCCAGCCAUGCCGCGUGCAGGAAGACGGCGUUUGCGUUGUAAACUGCUUUUAUCUGGGAAGCGGUACCAGAUGAAUAAGCACCGGCUAACUCCGUGCCAGCAGCCGCGGUAAUACGGAGGGUGCAAGCGUUGUCCGGAUUUAUUGGGUUUAAAGGGUGCGUAGGCGGCCGUUUAAGUCAGUGGUGAAAGACCCCGGCUCAACCGGGGCAGUGCCAUUGAUACUGGAUGGCUUGAGUGUUGGAGGGGUACAUGGAAUUGAUGGUGUAGCGGUGAAAUGCAUAGAUACCAUCAGGAACACCGAUAGCGAAGGCAUUGUACUGGCCACACUGACGCUGAUGCACGAAAGCAUGGGUAGCGAACAGGAUUAGAUACCCUUGUAGUC